This 497-nucleotide ribosomal RNA is filed under the name uncultured bacterium. RNAcentral describes it as "partial 16S ribosomal RNA". It matches the Rfam family "Bacterial small subunit ribosomal RNA", at positions 28 to 507 of the family's 1533-position model. The record is from RNAcentral.
GAUGAACGCUGGCGGCGUGCCUAAUACAUGCAAGUCGAGCGAACAGACGAGGAGCUUGCUCCUCUGACGUUAGCGGCGGACGGGGGAGUAACACGUGGAUAACCUACCUAUAAGACUGGGAUAACUUCGGGAAACCGGAGCUAAUACCGGAUAAUAUAUUGAACCGCAUGGUUCAAUAGUGAAAGACGGUUUUGCCGUCACUUAUAGAUGGAUCCGCGCCGCAUUAGCUAGUUGGUAAGGUAACGGCUUACAAAGGCAACGAUGCGUAGCCGACCUGAGAGGGUGAUCGGCCACACUGGAACUGAGACACGGUCCAGACUCCUACGGGAGGCAGCAGUAGGGAAUCUUCCGCAAUGGGCGAAAUCUUGACGGAGCAACGCCGCGUGAGUGAUGAAGGUCUUCGGAUCGUAAAACUCUGUUAUUAGGGAAGAACAAAUGUGUAAGUAACUAUGCACGUCUUGACGGUACCUAAUCAGAAAGCCACGGCUAACUACGUG